RNAcentral lists this ribosomal RNA (253 nucleotides) under uncultured bacterium. RNAcentral's name for it is "partial 16S ribosomal RNA". It matches the Rfam family "Bacterial small subunit ribosomal RNA", at positions 524 to 776 of the family's 1533-position model. The record is from RNAcentral.
UACGAAGGGGGCUAGCGUUGCUCGGAAUCACUGGGCGUAAAGGGCGUGUAGGCGGUAAGGAAAGUCAGAUGUGAAAUCCCCAGGCUCAACCUGGGAACUGCAUUUGAAACUCCCUUUCUUGAGUACCGGAGAGGAAAGUGGAAUUCCUGGUGUAGAGGUGAAAUUCGUAGAUAUCAGGAGGAACACCAGUGGCGAAGGCGGCUUUCUGGACGGUAACUGACGCUGAGACGCGAAAGCGUGGGGAGCAAACAGG